GACGAACGCUGGCGGCGCGCCUAACACAUGCAAGUCGAACGAGCGAGAGAGAGCUUGCUUUCUCGAGCGAGUGGCGAACGGGUGAGUAACGCGUGAGGAACCUGCCUCAAAGAGGGGGACAACAGUUGGAAACGACUGCUAAUACCGCAUAAGCCCACGGUGCCGCAUGGCACAGAGGGAAAAGGAGCAAUCCGCUUUGAGAUGGCCUCGCGUCCGAUUAGCUAGUUGGUGAGGUAAUGGCCCACCAAGGCGACGAUCGGUAGCCGGACUGAGGGGUUGAACGGCCACAUUGGGACUGAGACACGGCCCAGACUCCUACGGGAGGCAGCAGUGGGGAAUAUUGCACAAUGGGGGAAACCCUGAUGCAGCGACGCCGCGUGGAGGAAGAAGGUCUUCGGAUUGUAAACUCCUGUUGUUGGGGAAGAUAAUGACGGUACCCAACAAGGAAGUGACGGCUAACUACGUG
Molecule: ribosomal RNA, 466 nt
Filed under: uncultured bacterium
Lineage: Bacteria
Description: partial 16S ribosomal RNA
Rfam family: Bacterial small subunit ribosomal RNA
Source: RNAcentral